UAAAGCGGUGGGGUACCUCGAGGGGCUGCAGACCGGACUGGUGCAGUAAAAAUCUGUAAAUCGAAGUCCUCCGGCUGCUAGGCGGUCCAGGUUAGGGGUCAGUGAAGUAGGGUGUCCAUAACAGCCCAAGUCCCCGAAUCCCAGAUCAUCUGCGAAGAUGAGCACAAAAUUCGGUGGUGAAGCAGAGCAAAUGGACAAAACAUAGAGAACAAGGAAGGUGAAGAGCAGGUCUGCAGAAGGGCUGGUGCCUAUCUUCAAAGAGUGUCAGUGUUGUGAGUCCAGUCCAGUUUAUUGUCCAUGUGAACUACCCAAGAGUUCACUAUCUUAAGGUUCACUGCCUGGAUGUUCACCGGCAUCAGUGAGGUGUCGACCGUGUGAACCUGUGAGCUAAACUGUGAAGUGCCAUGCAGACGUGUCAGUGGAAGUCAACAUGACAUGGUGCAGCUCCUGAGCAGAGGGACCUGCAAUAGAAAACAUCCUGGCAAAUAGAGGUACGUUGGCACAAUAGAAGCUGGAUCAGAGCACCAAAUUAUGCAAUGAAAUCUGACAGGCCUCCAUGGAGCAACAUGAGCUGAAGAACUCAUAAAUGUUUGAGAACCAGCUGGGGCAGUAUGCUCUUUUGUCAACGUUCUCAACUCACACAGCAACACACUUACUGAACCAAAUGCAGUGAAGAUAUUAUGGUCAAAUGAAGUGUUCUUGGAUUUCUUCCUCAGUUACACUAAUUCUCAAACAGUCAUUUAUAUGUGGAAACACCUACAUUUACACUCAUCAUUAAUAAGCAAGAAUGUCAUAAUAAACUUGUUUAUUAAUUGG
Molecule: long non-coding RNA, 816 nt
Organism: Gambusia affinis (western mosquitofish)
Lineage: Eukaryota; Metazoa; Chordata; Actinopteri; Cyprinodontiformes; Poeciliidae
Exons: 4
Source: RefSeq, a predicted model, not a curated record